GCCUAGUACGGCGAGUGAAGCGGCAACAGCUCAAAUUUGAAAUCUGGCUCUUUGGCCCUACUUGUUGUUUGUAGAAGAUACUUUUGAUGCGAUGCCUUCCGACUUCCCCGGAACGGGACGCCCUACAUGGAGAGAGACACGUCUGGUUGGAUGCCGUAUCUCUGUACAUGUCCUUCUCCGACUCCAAUACUUUGUGAAUGCUGCUCUAACUGGGAGGGAUAUGUCUUCUUCUUCUAAAUACCGGCCACAGACCGAUACCGCACAAGUACAGUGAUAGAGAUAUGAAAAUCACUUUGAAUUUAGAGUUAAAAAGUACGUGAAAUUGUUGAUGGGGAAACGUUUAUGACCGCACUUGGACUUGGUUAAUCUUCUGGGGUUCUCCCCCUGGCACUUUUCCUCUCCUGGCCAGCAUCCAUUUUCCCCGGGGGAUAAAGGCGGCGGGAAUGUGGCUCUCUUCUCCUAUUGUUAUGUGCCACCGUGUAAUACCCUGGGGGGGACUGAUGUUCUGACAUCUUCACUGAUGCUGGGAUACUGGUCAUCUGCUACCCGCCCCCUUGAAAAAAAAAAAAAAAAAG
This 575-nucleotide ribosomal RNA is filed under the name Fusarium oxysporum. RNAcentral's name for it is "partial large subunit ribosomal RNA". It matches the Rfam family "Eukaryotic large subunit ribosomal RNA", at positions 77 to 661 of the family's 3401-position model. Lineage: Eukaryota; Fungi; Ascomycota; Sordariomycetes; Hypocreales; Nectriaceae. The record is from RNAcentral.